Molecule: long non-coding RNA, 1253 nt
Organism: Branchiostoma floridae (Florida lancelet)
Lineage: Eukaryota; Metazoa; Chordata; Leptocardii; Amphioxiformes; Branchiostomatidae
Exons: 3
Source: RefSeq, a predicted model, not a curated record
GGUUGAACACGAACGGAGACAGGGAAAGAAACUGGACUUGUCAAAGUGGACGUCACUGUAUCCAGAGAACAUCCCAAAGCAGACUAACAGCAGUGACUGUGGGGUAUUUGCCUGCCAGUAUGCGGAGUGUGAAACCAGAGAUGCCGCAAUAACCUUCACACAGGCCGACAUUCCCAAGUUCAGGAGACAAAUGGCGUCGGAAAUCAAGAACAAGAAGUUGGAAAGUCCUCCGUAGACAAUGUCAUAUACCUCCUGCUGUUAAUAUAGACUCUUCCAAGUGUGUCAUCAUCUUCACGCUAUUUGGUCAGACAGAAAUUGAGGCUUUGCACUGACUCGGUAAUGAGGUUUUAACCAUGUUUGUCAGCGAGGCUUGAGGAUCAACCUAGUCAAAUUCUAUGCACAAAAUUGAUGUAUGUUAAAAUUGUAGCGUUAGCACUCUGGUUUCAGUGGAAAGACCUGAGUUGAAGUCAUAAGUUUAGUUUAUUGUCUACGAAUCUUUCAAUUCAGUCGUUAGAGUGUAAAACCCGCUGAGACAGGGUGACCUCAUAUUUCAGCGCCAGUUUAUGAUACUAGUAUCCUUACAACGUCACGAUUUUUGUGAAUUUUCCCCUUUCUUUACCUUUCAUUAGCACGAUGAUUUUUGUCGAAGUUCUGUGUGCAAUUAUGUGUUUAUGAAUCAUCUUUUGCCGGCCUUCGCCUCUCAGGUGACGUUUAAGGCUAACGUCACAUUUCCACAAAGGGGCCCGGCCGGGCAGCUUUCGUGAACGAAAAGUAGGAAAUUAAAGACAACAAAACACACAGAAAGUAAAAUUAUUAAUCAUGGGUAUGAUUUGUAUAUAUCCAAUUUUUUUGUCCAUUUUUCGCAAACAUCCCGGCCGGGCACCGGCUUGGAAAUGUGACGUCGGUCUAACGAUCGCAUCUUAAUCCCCUGAAUUAAAACUUAAUUGAAAACCUUCCCCUAUCGUUAUUGGGACGAUUCGCUCAUGCAGUGCACGGCCUUCGAAAACGCAUAUGUCAACUUCGUGCUGGGCGUGGCCAGUGCCCACCUAAAUACUGGUUGUUGCAAAAGGUCGAUAAUAGUCGUUGACGCAUGUUAAUUACUUACUCUAGAAUAUAUAUAACAGACUUUUUUGGCCAUGCUCGGAGUUUCGAGAUGCCAAUACUUGCAGCUGUACAGUGUAGACUGAAUAAGAAGGAGUAGUGACAGAAUGUGCUCUAUAUAUUGUGUGUUAAUAAAAUCCCUUGAACCUUGA